Ornithodoros turicata is the source of this 512-nucleotide long non-coding RNA. RefSeq lists it as uncharacterized. Lineage: Eukaryota; Metazoa; Arthropoda; Arachnida; Ixodida; Argasidae. The transcript is spliced from 3 exons. The record is from RefSeq and is a predicted model, not a curated record.
CUGAGUUGCACGCCGCUGCUCGGUCGACCAACCGGCAAAAGGAAUGACAAUUUUCAAAAGAUAUUUAAGCGACCGUUACACGAAGCGAUAGGAAUCAGCGCGACGUCGCAUCACGUUCCAGAGACUAUAUUCAAAGGAGGGAACACAAGGUAUUAAUACAGGCUGUGGAACCCAAUAGUACCAAAAGGGGACAGCAACCAUGAAGGUGAUCCUUAUUACCACCAUCGUUCUUCUCCAAAUGAUGCACGGUUGUGAAGGAAGGGGAGGCUGUAAUUAUCCCAUAGAGUGUCUUAAAACGCCACAGGGCGACCCCGACUGCGAUUAUGAGGACGAAGAGUUCUAUUACGACCAACAAUCGAAGAAAUGCAACAGAUUCUUGAUGGGCAUGUGCGGAGGAAACUGCAACAGCUUCAGAUCCGAAUCAGCUUGUAUGAGUUCAUGCCAAGGUGCUGGGAGAAGAUGAACACCGAGAGACAGCCUCAAGUUAUUCAAAAUAAAGACUGCAUGCACGA